GGUACUAUAGUUCAUCGGUAAGAAUAUUCCCCUGUCACGGGAAAGAGCCGGGUUCGAUUCCCGGUAGUACCGCCA
This 75-nucleotide transfer RNA is filed under the name Klebsiella variicola. RNAcentral's name for it is "tRNA-Asp". It matches the Rfam family "tRNA". Rfam says of the family: Transfer RNA (tRNA) molecules are approximately 80 nucleotides in length. Their secondary structure includes four short double-helical elements and three loops (D, anti-codon, and T loops). Further hydrogen bonds mediate the characteristic L-shaped molecular structure. tRNAs have two regions of fundamental functional importance: the anti-codon, which is responsible for specific mRNA codon recognition, and the 3' end, to which the tRNAs corresponding amino acid is attached (by aminoacyl-tRNA synthetases). tRNAs cope with the degeneracy of the genetic code in two manners: having more than one tRNA (with a specific anti-codon) for a particular amino acid; and 'wobble' base-pairing, i.e. permitting non-standard base-pairing at the 3rd anti-codon position. RNAcentral also lists the same sequence under 1 other name. The record is from RNAcentral. Lineage: Bacteria; Pseudomonadati; Pseudomonadota; Gammaproteobacteria; Enterobacterales; Enterobacteriaceae.